This 273-nucleotide ribosomal RNA is filed under the name Cryptosporidium parvum. RNAcentral describes it as "partial 18S ribosomal RNA". It matches the Rfam family "Eukaryotic small subunit ribosomal RNA", at positions 504 to 803 of the family's 1831-position model. The record is from RNAcentral. Lineage: Eukaryota; Apicomplexa; Conoidasida; Eucoccidiorida; Cryptosporidiidae.
UGUAAUUGGAAUGAGUUAAGUAUAAACCCCUUUACAAGUAUCAAUUGGAGGGCAAGUCUGGUGCCAGCAGCCGCGGUAAUUCCAGCUCCAAUAGCGUAUAUUAAAGUUGUUGCAGUUAAAAAGCUCGUAGUUGGAUUUCUGUUAAUAAUUUGUAUAAAAUAUUUUGAAUAUUUAUAUAACAUUAACAUAAUUCAUAUUACUAUAUUUUUUAGUAUAUGAAAUUUUACUUUGAGAAAAUUAGAGUGCUUAAAGCAGGCAUAUGCCUUGAAUACU